RNAcentral lists this transfer RNA (76 nucleotides) under Nitrososphaera sp. RNAcentral describes it as "tRNA-Gln". It matches the Rfam family "tRNA". Rfam says of the family: Transfer RNA (tRNA) molecules are approximately 80 nucleotides in length. Their secondary structure includes four short double-helical elements and three loops (D, anti-codon, and T loops). Further hydrogen bonds mediate the characteristic L-shaped molecular structure. tRNAs have two regions of fundamental functional importance: the anti-codon, which is responsible for specific mRNA codon recognition, and the 3' end, to which the tRNAs corresponding amino acid is attached (by aminoacyl-tRNA synthetases). tRNAs cope with the degeneracy of the genetic code in two manners: having more than one tRNA (with a specific anti-codon) for a particular amino acid; and 'wobble' base-pairing, i.e. permitting non-standard base-pairing at the 3rd anti-codon position. The record is from RNAcentral. RNAcentral also lists the same sequence under 3 other names. Lineage: Archaea; Thermoproteati; Nitrososphaerota; Nitrososphaeria; Nitrososphaerales; Nitrososphaeraceae.
AGCCCGGUCGUCUAGCGGCCAAGGAUGCUGGGCUCUGGCCCCAGCGACGGGAGUUCGAAUCUCCCCCGGGCUACCA